UACGUAGGGUGCAAGCGUUGUCCGGAAUUAUUGGGCGUAAAGAGCUCGUAGGUGGCCUGUCGCGUCGGCUGUGAAAACUCGGGGCUCAACUCCGAGCUUGCAGUCGAUACGGGCAGGCUAGAGUUCGGCAGGGGAGACCGGAAUUCCUGGUGUAGCGGUGAAAUGCGCAGAUAUCAGGAGGAACACCGGUGGCGAAGGCGGGUCUCUGGGCCGAUACUGACACUGAGGAGCGAAAGCGUGGGGAGCGAACAGG
This 253-nucleotide ribosomal RNA is filed under the name uncultured bacterium. RNAcentral describes it as "partial 16S ribosomal RNA". It matches the Rfam family "Bacterial small subunit ribosomal RNA", at positions 524 to 776 of the family's 1533-position model. The record is from RNAcentral.